This 492-nucleotide ribosomal RNA is filed under the name uncultured bacterium. RNAcentral's name for it is "partial 16S ribosomal RNA". It matches the Rfam family "Bacterial small subunit ribosomal RNA", at positions 29 to 507 of the family's 1533-position model. The record is from RNAcentral.
AGUGAACGCUGGCGGUAGGCCUAACACAUGCAAGUCGAACGGCAGCACAGUAAGAGCUUGCUCUUACGGGUGGCGAGUGGCGGACGGGUGAGGAAUACAUCGGAAUCUACUUUUUCGUGGGGGAUAACGUAGGGAAAUUUACGCUAAUACCGCAUACGACCUACGGGUGAAAGCAGGGGAUCUUCGGACCUUUCGCGAUUGAAUGAGCCGAUGUCGGAUUAGCUAGUUGGCGGGGUAAAGGCCCACCAAGGCGACGAUCCGUAGCUGGUCUGAGAGGAUGAUCAGCCACACUGGAACUGAGACACGGUCCAGACUCCUACGGGAGGCAGCAGUGGGGAAUAUUGGACAAUGGGCGCAAGCCUGAUCCAGCCAUACCGCGUGGGUGAAGAAGGCCUUCGGGUUGUAAAGCCCUUUUGUUGGGAAAGAAAAGCAGCAGGUUAAUACCCCGCUGUUCUGACGGUACCCAAAGAAUAAGCACCGGCUAACUUCGUG